CGGAAGCGCGGAUUAUGGUUGAUACUAUAAACUCCUCAAACCGAUGGCCCUAUUAGAUAAAGAACCAAUAUAAUUGGUGACUCAUAAUAACUUUACGGAUCACAUUAAAUGUGACAUAUCAUUCAAGUUUCUGACCUAUCAGCUUUAGACGGUAGGGUAAUGGCCUACCGUGGCAAUGACAGGUAACGGGGAAUUAGGGUUCGAUUCCGGAGAGGGAGCCUGAGAAACGGCUACCACAUCUAAGGAAGGCAGCAGGCGCGCAAAAUACCCAAUCCUAAUACAGGGAGGUAGUGACAAGAAAUAACAAUACAGGACUUUUUGGUUUUGUAAUUGCAAUGAGUUAAGUAUAAACCCCUUUACAAGUAUCAAAUGGAGGGCAAGUCUGGUGCCAGCAGCCGCGGUAAUUCCAGCUCCAAUAGCGUAUAUUAAAGUUGUUGCAGUUAAAAAGCUCGUAGUUGGAUUUCUGUUAAUCAUUUAUAUAAAAUAUUUUGAUGAAUAUUUAUAUAAUAUUAACAUAAUUCAUAUUACUAAAUAUUUUAGUAUAUGAAAUUUUACUUUGAGAAAAUUAGAGUGCUUAAAGCAGGCAUAUGCAUUGAAUACUCCAGCAUGGAAUAAUAUUAAAGAUUUUUAUCUUUCUUAUUGGUUCUAAGAUAAGAAUAAUGAUUAAUAGGGACAGUUGGGGGCAUUUGUAUUUAACAGUCAGAGGUGAAAUUCUUAGAUUUGUUAAAGACAAACUAAUGAGAAAGCAUUUGCCAAGGAUGUUUUCAUUAAUCAAGAACGAAAGUUAGGGGAUCGAAGACGAUCAGAUACCGUCGUAGUCCCGAGGGUGGCGGGGUGUUGAUAGUCCCCCCCCCCUAGCGCCUCCG
This 866-nucleotide ribosomal RNA is filed under the name Cryptosporidium parvum. RNAcentral's name for it is "SSU rRNA". It matches the Rfam family "Eukaryotic small subunit ribosomal RNA", at positions 182 to 1116 of the family's 1831-position model. The record is from RNAcentral. Lineage: Eukaryota; Apicomplexa; Conoidasida; Eucoccidiorida; Cryptosporidiidae.